GACGAACGCUGGCGGCGUGCUUAACACAUGCAAGUCGAGCGAGGCCCCUCCUUCGGGAGGGUGUCCUAGCGGCGAACGGGUGAGUAACACGUGGGCAACCUGCCCCCGGCUCUGGGAUAACUCCAAGAAAUUGGGGCUAAUACCGGAUAUGACCGCUGACCGCAUGGUCUGGUGGUGGAAAGACUUAUCGGCUGGGGAUGGGCCCGCGGCCUAUCAGCUUGUUGGUGGGGUAGUGGCCUACCAAGGCGACGACGGGUAGCCGGCCUGAGAGGGUGACCGGCCACACUGGGACUGAGACACGGCCCAGACUCCUACGGGAGGCAGCAGUGGGGAAUAUUGCGCAAUGGGCGGAAGCCCGACGCAGCGACGCCGCGUGGGGGAUGACGGCCUUCGGGUUGUAAACCUCUUUCAGCAGGGACGAAGCGAAAGUGACGGUACCUGCAGAAGAAGCACCGGCCAACUACGUGCCAGCCGCCGCGGUAA
This 483-nucleotide ribosomal RNA is filed under the name uncultured bacterium. RNAcentral describes it as "partial 16S ribosomal RNA". It matches the Rfam family "Bacterial small subunit ribosomal RNA", at positions 28 to 523 of the family's 1533-position model. The record is from RNAcentral.